AUUAUCCUACGGGGGGCAGCAGUGGGGAAUAUUGGGCAAUGGGCGCAAGCCUGACCCAGCAACGCCGCGUGAAGGAAGAAGGCUUUCGGGUUGUAAACUUCUUUUAUCAGGGACGAAGCAAGUGACGGUACCUGAUGAAUAAGCCACGGCUAACUACGUGCCAGCAGCCGCGGUAAUACGUAGGUGGCAAGCGUUAUCCGGAUUUACUGGGUGUAAAGGGCGUGUAGGCGGGAGUGCAAGUCAGAUGUGAAAACUAUGGGCUCAACCCAUAGCCUGCAUUUGAAACUGUACUUCUUGAGUGCUGG
This 305-nucleotide ribosomal RNA is filed under the name uncultured bacterium. RNAcentral describes it as "bacterial SSU rRNA". It matches the Rfam family "Bacterial small subunit ribosomal RNA", at positions 333 to 652 of the family's 1533-position model. The record is from RNAcentral.